CAGCAGCCGCGGUAAUACGAGGGGGGCAAGCGUUGUUCGGAAUUACUGGGCGUAAAGCGUGCGUAGGCGGUUCGUUAAGUCUGUUGUGAAAGCCCCGGGCUCAACCUGGGAAUGGCAAUGGAUACUGGCGAGCUAGAGUGUGUCAGAGGAUGGUGGAAUUCCCGGUGUAGCGGUGAAAUGCGUAGAGAUCGGGAGGAACAUCAGUGGCGAAGGCGGCCAUCUGGGACAACACUGACGCUGAGGCACGAAAGCGUGGGGAGCAAACAGGAUUAGAUACCCCUGUAGUCCCUGUCUCUUAUAC
This 301-nucleotide ribosomal RNA is filed under the name uncultured bacterium. Its description in RNAcentral is "partial 16S ribosomal RNA". It matches the Rfam family "Bacterial small subunit ribosomal RNA", at positions 509 to 807 of the family's 1533-position model. The record is from RNAcentral.